Molecule: ribosomal RNA, 253 nt
Filed under: uncultured bacterium
Lineage: Bacteria
Description: partial 16S ribosomal RNA
Rfam family: Bacterial small subunit ribosomal RNA
Source: RNAcentral
UACGGAGGGUGCAAGCGUUAAUCGGAAUUACUGGGCGUAAAGCGUGCGUAGGCGGUUCGUUAAGUCUGCUGUGAAAGCCCCGGGCUCAACCUGGGAAUGGCAGUGGAUACUGGCGAGCUAGAGUGUGAUAGAGGAUGGUGGAAUUCCCGGUGUAGCGGUGAAAUGCGUAGAGAUCGGGAGGAACACCGGUGGCGAAGGCGGCAUCCUGGACCAUUACUGACACUGAAAAGCGAAAGCCAGGGGAGCAAACGGG